Parus major (Great Tit) is the source of this 13559-nucleotide long non-coding RNA. RefSeq lists it as uncharacterized. The record is from RefSeq and is a predicted model, not a curated record. The transcript is spliced from 3 exons. Lineage: Eukaryota; Metazoa; Chordata; Aves; Passeriformes; Paridae.
AAUCCUCCCUUGUAUUUGUGCAUUUUGUGUGCCUGGAAAGUUGCACAAAACAUGUUGCUUCAGGGCUGCACCUAAUUAUAUUGGACAUCCAGAAAUAGGUGCAUCUGACUCAGAAUUUCUGCAUGCCUUGCCAACCAAUCAAACCAUAAGAAAUGCAAACUAUGCUUAAAUUAAGCAAUAAAACACUGAAAGUUGCAAGUUGUAAUGUAUUAGCAUACAGCACACUGCAAGGAAGAACUCCACAACAGGAAAUGGGUUCUAAGUAUAUUUGUACCCAGUACCACUGAGAGUAACUUCACAACUGUGGCUUUACACAACUUGAGUCACACGACGAACGCUGACAGCACAACAUUACUGAAUGUUACAGAUCAGCACUGAACAUCAAAUGAGGCAACAUCCACGGGAUCCUGUUACAAGGGUGACCACUUUAGGUUCCAGUUCCCUUGUCCUCUGAGGGAAAACCUGAGUUAAUCAGAGAGCACAGAGGAUACAAGAGCUGGCAGUCUUAUUUCCCAUGUCCUUGGGGAAGACAAAAGUUUGUUUUAAUAGACAUGUAUUAAAUGUUUCAGUGCAGAACUGAAAGAUCAAGCACAGUGGACUCAGCCUACCUAGACACCUACUUACCCUGAUAUAUAUCAAUUUUUAACACCUGUCAUCCAGAGUUUGUAAGAGGGGAAGAAUAUUUAAGACACUUAGUUGCAAAGAUCUGGAUUGCUGUUUCAUCCAAGGUCACAAGCAAAAAUAUUCUUCUCCACUCCUGUUUUUGAAGAAUUUGCACAUAAUUUGUACACAGUUUUAGAGGUUUUGUAGAAUGUCCCAGAAGACACAGUGAUGAUAUCACAGCAAUAUCACUUGAAAUUAAUUAAACUAUCUCAAGAGCAUUAAGUCAAUCCUCAUUCCAUACAUAAAGACUGCAGAAGUAGACAUAUGUAGAAGUGAGUUGGGAGAAGCAGCUGCCUAAAAACAUACCUGAAAAUGAACUAACUGCUCCAAUUCAUGUGUACCCUUCUCAAAGACUGUCAAGCCCUAAGAUUUUGACAGCAACUUGUCUAUAAGAACCCAUGGGAAUGAUUUCAAUAUGUUCUUCCAUGGGAUCCCAUUGACUGUUUUCCCCAUAUUAUUAGCAGUCUCUACCAGCAACUAAACUCAGCAGUUUUUUAGCUCCCAACCUCAGGGAAAAUUGUAGAAUAAGGUGUAUCUUUAGCACUAUUAAUUCAUCUGCAUCCUAGUUCCCCUGCCACAUGCUGAGAAGCUGUGCUGCCAUUCUGCUUGUUCUUCCACCAGUCAUCCAUUUCUCUAACUCAGUACCUUCAGACAAAGACAAAUAAUACAGGAAGGAGACUUUCAUAAACCAUGUGAUAAUUAAUUUUCAUAAAAUUGGUAAACACUGAAAUUACUAGCUCAUGCAACAACAGUUCAGCAUCUGACAAAGUAAGUGUCACUUUCAAAAAUGAACAGGAAAAAAACACAUCAUAGGUUUAGUUACAGUUUUACUGAAGCAGGGUUUAGCUGCAGUAAGUUAGAAGUGCACUCAUGCUAGACUACUGUCACUACUGUCUGGUAGUUUAUUGGUAUAUGAAAAGCACUUCUAUCACAUGCUGCUGAGGGUGUCAGACCCAGCAAAAAGGAACAGUUCCAUUUGUUGUUUCCUUCCACCUCAUGAAUCAUGCAAAGCUGACUUUCUGGUUUUGUUACUCACUUAUAAAUGUAAUUGUAGAAAUUAACUAGCCAGAUACUUUUUACAGCCAUUGAAAGUGAAGAGAUUAACUCUCUCCCCAGGCAAGGAGGGAGCAGUAAGAGGAGCAAGGGUUGUACAGCCACAAGGAUGAGCACACAGAACAUACUGCUGAGUCCAGACAGAAGGAGCUUGCAAGAACUGAAAUAUUAAGAGUUUGCACAAUAAUUUGAACUGUGGUGACAAAUAGGUCAUACUUUUGAGAUACUAGCUCGACAAAGAUCGUGUAAGGAAUUAUAAAGGUCCACCUCAACAAUGAUGUCUGGGUUAUUACCCCGCAUAAAAGACAGUGACAACAGUUGUCUGCAGUGAUUUAGAAAAAUGCAGGAUUAUUUAAAUUCUUGGAUUAUUUAAUCAUGAACUCGUAUAGUCUGCAUUUGUUACAUGAAAGAAAUUUGCAGAUUGGUAAAUGACAUCCUCCAGAACUGUACCUCUAUGUGCCAUCAUUUUCACAAGGUGUCCUAACAAUUUUCCAGUGUUCUUCAUUAAUUACUGUUUCUAAUCCUCUCAGAUUAGAAUUAGAAUUCUUCUAGUUCUAAUGUUCUAAUUAACAUACUAAUGAUUUUUUUAGAACAUGUAACCAGCAAUUCCCAGGGCUAAACUGCAAGACAACAAUUCUAUUCUCCUGCCAGAAAACAGUAUGAACUGUAUGUGUAGUGAUUUGUUGCCACCACCUGCACACCCUCUAGAGGUGGGGAAGGCAGCCCUCAGUUUGAAAUAAAUCCACAGAUCCAUACUUGGAACAGGAUAACCUGCCAAGGUCACAUAUCCAUUACAGUAUGCCUCAGGUUUAAAGACAAGGCCGAAAGACAGAACUUUAUUACUGAGCCAUCUCAAAACACUGACUACAGCAGAACCCUGCAAGACAUGACUCUGUGAUACACGCUGGACUGUGAUGGAGACAGUCACUGCUUCACUGCAGGAUGCUAAAUAUACACUGAGACAUGAAUAGGCCUCUCUAAUAUACUGAUCCCAUUUCCAAAACCAAAAUACACUUCAGAUCUCUUCACUGACUCUUCUGCAAAUUGCUUUACAACUGUUCACAUUUUCUGCCAGGAUUAUUUUCAUUUAUGUCUUACUUCUUAGAGACUUUAUACUUAAGACAGAGAAGAAUACAAUUUUGUCAUGGAUUAAUAAGCCUGAAAAAUACAGUCAAAAUUUUGUAAAAUCGUAUUUCUUAAAUAAAUGAGCACUCUGGUAGUAAAUUUUAUCUUCCAGGUGGAGAUCAUAUCUGAAAUGUCACCGUUUUAUUGUAAUAUAUCCAAGUUUUCAGUCAUUAUCCAUUAUAUUAUUUAACUCCUAAAGCUGGUGAUAAAGGCAAGCCAAAAAAAUGCCAUGACUUUUUAUUGUGGUGAGAUAUUUUACAGAUAUGGGCAUAUGAAAAAUCCUGGAGAGCAAAAUCAUAUGAAGGAUUUUUCCAAGUAAAUACUUUUGUUCUGAGACUUAUUGGUGUGGUACUGUGCUCAGUUUAGAACAGUUACUUUGGAUCCAGCUUUCCCAUUCAUGAACAGCAGCAAUAACAACAUUUGAUCUAAUAUUAAUAUACUUUUAGAUGUCUUUUAUAUUUUAUGCAUAUUAUUAACUCAGUUAUGGUUUCAAGGAAAACUCCCUGGACAAGAGUGAGACUGACUGAAUGCCUUUCUGAAGAAAAAGUCCCUGAGGACCACAUUUCUCACCGAGUUUCUGAAUUCCAGAGGGUGUUUCAGAUGCAUCUCCCCAGGUUUUCCUCCAAGUGUAGAUGCAGCCAUGCUGGAGGUCAGAGAUUAGACUGCAUCUCACUGUCCAGCUGCAGCCCUUCCCAUGAAAUGACCUGUAAGAGCAGCUAAAAAGUGACCUGAGCUCCAGCUAAGAGUGGGCCCAAAUAGGAAUAAACUAGCUGAGGCUCAGCUUCAGCAAGAUUUACAUGAAUAUUUACCAAAGGAAAAGCAAUCAGGAAUAUAAUCAGGUAGUGAACAGAACUUUCAUGCUGUGAUACCUCCACAGGUCUGCAUACAGGGUGAAGACCUCAAUGGAAGAAAAAUGCAAAGGUCAAUACCAUGUUUUAUUUACAUAUAAAUCCAGUAAACUGAGUCAUACUAUCGCUUCAGCUUUCUCACUACAGAAAACAGGUGAAAGGGGGAAAAAUAUUAAAAACUUAUUAUUAACAGAAGACAAAGACAUUUCCAACCUGAAAGUAAUAUAUAGUAUCAGUCAAGUACUGUUACAAUCAAGUAGACAGUCAUAAAUUCUCCUUUCCCUCCAUGACUUUGUUCACACCUAGAUAAAUUCUUCUGCUUCUGCAACACCGCAGAUUCUCUCACCAUAACUCUCCCCAUCUAAUAUCUCCAAACAGCGAAAUCUCGUGCAGAGUGCCCAUACAUAACAUGGGAGCACUGAAGAUUAGGCCUUCCUCUCUCCAUAGAAGAAUUUCUCAAUACAACUUAAGAAGCUUUAUAAAAUCUAAUUCAGACAGGUUUUUGCCAUCAUUUCUGAAGUAAAGAUAGAGCUUUUAUCAAUGUUCAGUUUGAUGGUUUCUAGUAAUUACUCUGUAAAUACCUACAUCUAUUAAUAGCACCACUAAAAAGUAUGUCUACAAGAAUUUUCAGGAUGAAAAUCAAAAUUCCUUCCAAAGUGUGUUUGUAAUUCAGGACCAUCAUCUCUUCAUCAUAGCCAAUAAUAACCUCUCAACUCCAACACCCCACCUGGCAAACAAACUAUUAGCAAAGGUAAAUAAUGAGUUUAGUCAGCAAUCAGUGUGACCUUUCAGGAAGGAUAGCUCCCUUCCAGACAGUACCUCCAACCACUAAAUGAAAUCUCUAUUUUCCAAGCUUAAGGGGAAAGAAAAAUGUCUGCUUGAGCAAACUGAAUCAUAUAAAAAUUUACAACACCCCCAGACAUUAGCAAAGCUCUUCAUCUUUUAUUCUAAAUUCUGCUUUAUCUUCAGUCUGCAGAUGUGGUUGGGACAUAUCAAAGAGAAAAACAUGCAGAGAUUCAUCAACUAGAAGCUGAACAAGUCACUUGAGGGCAUGCACACCUCCUGUAACUAACCAUAGCUGCACCUGAAGCAUAAUGGAACCUCCUAGAAGAAGCAACAUUUUAUUAACAUUUCUAGUGAAAAAAUGAAAUGUGGCCAAAGGCCCAAGAAAGGCAUGUUGAAGUGAGGAUGGGGUUGGUCUCCUCCUCCAAGUAGCAAGCAAUAGGACAAGAGGAGGUGGCGUCAAGGUGUUCCAGGGGAGGUUUAGAUUGGAUAUUAGGAAAAAAAAAAUUCACAGAAAGAAAGGAUUGCCAAGUACUGGAACAGGCCUCUCAGGAAAGUUAUUCACUCCCCAUCCCUAGAGGCACUUAAAAGACCUGUGGUAGAUACAGAAGGCAGGGACAUGGCUUUGUGGUGGAUUUGGCAGUGUUAGAUUUACAGUUGGACUCUAUGAUCUUAAACGCUUUCCCCACCUAAAUGAUUCUGUGAUUUGAUGCUUCUAAAUUCUCAGAACUACAUUCAGAAGAGUCUGAGGCACAGGUCUAAGAAAAACCCUCCCAUUGCCAGCAUAGGCUCUUCCUCCCUCCCUCCCUCCCUGUUGCACAGAUACCUGUAAGUAGCUCGUUCACACACGGCUUUACAUUUCCUGCCAUCUAUACAGAUCCUUCUGCACAGAGCUGCUAAGAGCAAGACUGCUCCUUCCUGUGGCAGUGAUUCUUCUGGUACCUGUGAAUAAACCUGACUCGACAGAUAAAUAUCAACUGCAGAGAGAUGUAAACAGAAAAAGAGACUUCUUUCCUCCCAAUGAAUUUGGAGACUUCUGACCCCAGUCAGCAUAAUUUUCUUGGACGUAAAAGAGUUUUUCAAGGUGAUGAAUUCACUGUGUGAUUUUUUUGGAAACAUGGCAAUUCCUUUUCUCCAGUGUUGGGCUGCCUGAUGGGAAGAGGACAUCACCUGCUUACCAGCCUGGCAGUAGUGUAUCACUACAAUACUGCACUACUGGAUAUCACACCAGCCUCAUCAAGCCAGCUUUACUGUCAGCUUCAGCACCACCUGCCAUCUCCCCUGUGACAGGGCAGUUUCACUAUUAAAAAGAUGCACUUACAGACACUUUUCUCACAAAGAGAGUGGCCUACAUUUUCAAACUCCCUGCCAAGGAUCAGUGGCCCUCCAUCCCCACUACCUAUAGAAAUGCAUCCAAAACAGUAUUUCAUCUCAAUUUUCCCACAAAAGACCCUCUCAAGUAUGUCAGGAGUCUUAUGUGCAGAAAGGCCCAGCAGCAACUUUUAAGUGCACUCCUGUCACAAAAGCUUUGAAGGGAAAGAUUUGUGCAUUUACUUCUAAUGGGUAGUUCUCAGAUACCACGGUUAUGGAUGAGCUUAGGCCACAUAAAGCAAUUAAAUUUAAUGCCCUAGAUUAGAUGCUGUUUCUGACUGAAUGACCUUAAGAGUGUAUGCAAGUGUUCUAAUCUAUGACACUAGUGAAAUAGGAGGUAUCUGAAUGUGUUCAGUAGCAUUUUUUUCUCAAAGCAUAAAGUUUUUAUUCUCUUGGCUUGGUCAUAUUUGACUCUUGGCACCAGUCUGUUCCUUCCAUAUGGUAUCACGUAUGAUUACAAUAAAAGAAUAAAAACUCUACAGAAACCUCAAAAGGCAUUAAUAUGUUUGCUUUGUCAAACUCUGGAGUCUCAAAGCAAGAAGGAAUCCAAGACAAACAGGAAUAUAAUGCUAAAAUCAAGAUGUGGGCAGGUACUGAACUUCCUUUCUUCAUUAUUUCUAAUCAGUUUAAGAGCAUGAUUCAUUUGUUAAACUUCUUUCUGUACAAGUGGGGAGAAAAAAGUGAAUUACCCAUUGAAUGCACAAUAGAAUAAUGAAAGGAAGCUGCAGGUACUUCAUGCCUUUGAAAAUUAUUCACUCUUCAAGAAAAUGCUUAGAGACAUACUUACGUCCAUCUCUGUUAAGGAAAACACACACAUUUAUGUGUGGAAAUUUUCUUGGAUGAAAUCCAAACAGAAAAUUUCAGAUAUGUCUGGCUGGAGGACUAUGUCCACCUCUGAAUCAGAGUGGACCAGACUGUAUAUAUUCAGAAAUAAUCACAUAGUCUUUCAAGCAGAAGACACUGUCUGAGACUACACUUCAGUGCCCCAAAUGAUGAACGUUUUGCUGAGCUUCCUGUAAUGCAAUUACACUGCAACUCAGAUAGCUAUCAGAAGAUAAAUCUAAUGCUCAACAGAAAAUUGAAAAUAUUUCUUGAUUAGGUGCAGCUGACCUAUAAGACAGCUUUUGAACUUUUAAUUAAUAUCUUUAAAGGGAGAGGGGGUUUGCACAUGAAAGGGCAACUCCUUAAAAUUAAUUGAUAAACUGUACAGUUCAAGAAUUUUCUACCUUAACUGAUCUGUGAUGGCAGUCCCUUGAGUAAUCUACAUCUGCUCUCUUACAGGAAAUCUGUAAAACCAACUUACAAAAAAAUUUAAAAAUCUUGCAGAGAAAACAAAGAGAAAAAAUAUUUCAAGUUUCCCCAAACUCAGUACAUUUUAUGUAAAACAUGUCUACAAGUGACUCUUAAUGCACCAGCAUUAAUUUAAAAAAGAAAGAAUGCAUGCUGUAUUGUGUUAAUGGAUUGAGAAAUAGUUUAGGUGUUAGUGUUAAUGAGAAAAAGCACCAUUUAUUGUGAAAUGAACAUCUGCCUCAUUAGGAAUAACAUAGUAAAUUAUGUCUAUUAUGCGUACACGUUAAAGAUUUUUUUGUUAGAUAGUAUUAUUCAUGCUUUCUACUCCAUCUUUUCCACCUGAGAGCAAAAGACUCAAUUGUGCUUCAAUUAAAAUCAGUUGCAAAUUUCAUUAAUUUUCACUGCUUAUGUUAAUGAAAAUAUGAACCAUAUAAGAAUGUGAAAUACUUGGCAAAUAAGUUUUACCUUUGAAUUACUAAGAAAUAACUACCCUACCACAGUGAGAUUUAUUUGCACUGUCAGCAGUUUAUGUUGUCAAGGAAUAAAAGGUUUUCCUCCUAUAUAUUUUCUCCAUAAAAAGAUUAAUAAAAUAACAAACCAUGUGCUUUUCCUUUCCACUGAAACAAUUAUGAAAAAUUUAACUGCAUUUUUAUGAGUAAUUGUUAAGUAUUUUAAUUAUGCUUAUUCUCAUGAAUAGGGAAAUCACUAUUAUUAACUGAAUAAUCAUUGGUAUUCCAUUUGAUGCUAAAAAAUAUUUGAAAUUAUUGCAAAAUAUUAGUUCACUUGUACUUUCACCCAAUUCAGGAAACUUAAUUAAGCUACAAUAAAGAGUAAAACAGGGUGAAUAUCUAUUAAAAAUAUAGUCAGUCUUGGAGCAUGGAAAGAGCAUCAAGUCUGAAUAGAUAUCAUGACCUGUUUUUGAUUGAAAAAGUUGAGCAACACAGAAACUUUAAAAAGUUCCCAGUGAAGAAAGGUGUCUAGACCAUUAAGAUACUGUUCAGGGCCUACUCUGAAAAUCUGUCACACAAAUAUUCUCUCAGAGGCAAUUAAAAUCUUUAUAAAUCCAUUCUUUAAUUCACUAAAACGACCUCUUCUUUGAGAACAAUGCCAUACUAUAAAUUCAUAUACCAACUCUCAGGACAAACCUGUAAUUUUGGGCAGGUUCCUUCAUCAUAGGAGACCACAGAAAGUUUCCCAAGAGCUCACACAUCAUACAUGACACUCAAUAAAAAAGACAAAAAAAGCUUCACCAAAGACUGGUACACCAAGAAAAAUUGAACUGAGCUAAGAAUCUCAUCCCCACGUAUAAUGUUCAUUGCACGGGUUUUGUGAAAGGAGAAAAAAUUACAGCAAAAUGAUAAUUAUGAAGAAAUUUCUUAACUCAUGUCUUGCUUUAGGAUAAAGAAGAUUCUGCUUGCAAAGGUUGUCCAUUUAUUUGAAAUUCAAAUACUAACCUUCCUAAACACAAUUCCUAAUCUCAUUUAAGAAAUAAAUCUUACAACAAAUAGAAGAAAGUCCACAUGCAUGAACCCUCCCCGACCCAGGGCUUGGUGACUCUUUCUCAAAGAAAGUCUUUUGCAGUCUUCUUUAUAGAAAGCCAUGGAUCAAUUUUUAUUUUUAUGGAAAAUUAUUUGCUUCCCCUGGUGUAGUGGUUUAGGUCACUAGUCUUGAAUCAGAAAGUAAAGCCAGUACAAAUGAGAAAAUUUAGUAGAUAAAGCCUCAAAAAAUAAAUGUGAAAUGGUAUUUUGCAAAGGUAAGCAUUCCUAAUACUUAUCUACAGAAAAUCCUGAGGUGGACAAUAACUCUCCAACAAAAAAAAAACCCAAAACCACAAAAGGUUCCACAAAAACAAACAAAAAAUAAACAAACCCCCUGCUCCCUCAAAAAGAACCAACGAAAAAAGAAACCAACAAAAAACAAGUGAAAAAUAGAGGCUAGGUGUUGUUUAGUGUCCAUGACAGGGUUCCAGGCAAGGUCUGCUGUCCAACAGCUGUUUGUGUGAACAGCACCAGGAAAGAGAAGGAAAGAAGCAUGGCUGAGCAUUUAAUCUUCUUUGCCAAUCACAAAACAAGAGCAAAAGUGGGUUUAAAGAUUGUUACAUCUCCACUUCUCUGGUCAGUACACAAUGACAGAGAUAGAACAAGAAAAUACUGGACAUGACAUUCACAAACAUCUGUGAAUGCAGCUAAAAGAAAAGCAGAUAUCUGCACCUGGUGCAGAACAAUCCCAUGUAUCCAUUCAGGCUGGGAACCCACUGUUGGGGUUCCGGGUGGCAGGCCCAGCAAGAAGGGCAUUUCUGUGGACACAGCAGGUUGAGCAAGCCAACAGCACACUUUCAUCAGAAAUAAGGAAAGCAGAAAGCAACUAUAUUGGAAUACUGGGACUGGCAGGUUGAAAAAGUUUCCUCCUCAGCACGGCCUCACACUAGGGCAGUCAGCUGUGAUCCUUCCCAGCUGAACAGGGAUGUGAACAAGACAGAGGAAGUGCUGGAGAGCAACAGAGAUACUCAGGAGCCUUGAGCUUUUGUCUUGGAGCAGCUGAUGAAGAUAAGCAUGUUUGGUCUGAGAGAAGGGUGAUCUAACAGGUGACCCAGUAGCAGCCUACAUCUACUUGAAGGUAAAUCACAAUGAUAAAGAAGCCAGAAUCUUCUCAGCAGUGACAGAACAUAUGAAAAGGGACAAUGACCAUAAACUGCCACUUGGGAGGUUCAGGGGGGUUCUUCCAUUCUUUCCUCCCCAUAUCAAACCCCCUCUUUUUUCAACAGGCAGGUGUUACAGACCUGCAGGCUAUUCAUCAGGGUGGUGGGACCCUCAUCCAGUGCAGUUUAAGAGCUAUCUAGACAAAGCCAUCUCACAUGACUGGGAAGAGUGUUUCUCCUAGCCGGACUGGAUAAUUUCCUAAGAUUCCUUCAAAACAAUGUGUAGCUGAGAAAUAUGCACAUGUAUAGAAUCAGACUGUUUCAAAUGCAGCAAAUCACUGCAGAUUUAUACUGAAGGGCAUCUUAUUCACUGUCCCUGAAAGAAAAUGCCUACUAAAGUUUGUGUGCUACAGUUAAAGAGUUUUAAAUUUUUAUGUCCUCAGUACCUAAUAAGAUUUGAUUUGCUACAUAUUUCUGUUGUCAACACUAUUAUUUAUUAAUUGUAAAUAACAUAUUAUUAUUUGUUUUUACAAACAUAUAGAAACAUAUAGUUACCCCAAGAGCACCAGGUCCUGACUCAGAAAUGGGACCUGAAAUGAUGAAAGCUGUUGAGUUACCCAUAGAGUAUCUGGAACUAGUUCAUUAGAAGCCACAAGAUGGAAAAAGAAAGAGAUAAAAUAAUUUCUCCUGCUUUCAAUAGUAUGAGAAAAAGCAAGUGCUUUGGCUGUUGCACAUGAUUGGUUUUCUAAUCAGAAUAUGGAACCUCUGUUAUUGUACCAAGGGCAUGAUGUGAUGCAGCUCUGUUAGCUCACAAGCAAAGACCUGCUGUUCAAUAGCCAUCCUGAUCAUUACUGAGCUAUAUCCUUUCUGGAAGAUCUGGAAGGCUAAAAUAGCUAGUUAAAUCUUUGAUGGUAUCAUUACAUUUUUUCCAGAAAUAAUAUUUCAGGUUUUUUUCCACUGAUACCACAAAAGCAAGAAUAAUUCCACACAGGCUCUUGCAACCCAACUAACACUGUAUCUUAUCUCCUGCAGUGGCCAAUGGGGGAUGUCUGUGAAAACCUAUCACUACAGGCCAUGCAAAGUGCUACUGCCCUUGUGCACACAUCCAGAUGUGUGAUUUGGAAUUGAGAAGCUUCCAGAGCAAAAUCUGGUAGCUUUGUAAAGUGAAGGACAUCCCCACAACAAACGUCAAAGACUUCUGCAUGGAAUAUAUUACAAAGAAGCCAGUAAGAAACAGAAACUUUAUUAUUCCUGAAAUAAAUCCAACAUGUUAAAUCAGGAAACUUAUGCAACUAAUUAUAUCCUACCAGUACAAACAGUAUCAAAGAGCAGUAUUUUUUUUUCUGAACAUCUCAUGCCAUCUCAUUUUCAGAAUGUCAAUUAAGAACAAAAAUAAUACAAAGUUCUUAUGAUAACUGAAGAUGAAACCCAGAGUUAAAUUUGCAACAAAUCUGGAAUUCCCCUUUGAUCAUUCUAAGGCAAUGGCUGAACAUCUUAUUACACUAUACAAGCCAUAAUAAAAUGCAACAGCAAUAACAGAAAGAAAUCCUGAAACAUCCUAAGACAACACUUUUGAAAAGCUACAAUAUCAAGGCCUUUUAAUGUAAGCACAUGUGUUAAGGGUGUACAUGGCUCCAUGUGUAGGUGAUGUGGUGUGGCAUAAAUAUUUUACUAACAGGAGUUUAAGUUACUGAUUCAUUACACACAAAAUGCGUGAAGGUUCUUUUCUGAUUUUGUAAAUGUUCAUAUUUUGGUACCCCAUUAAUGAUUAAGAACAGAAAGCUGUGGUAUCUGAAAAGAAGGUUUUCAAAAACUUGCAGGAAAUAUCUUAAAUUUUAUUCCAACUUUCCACAUAAUGAACUGCUGAGGUACACAAAAAAGGAGUCAAGAAACAUGUCAUUUAUGGCUCUCCUCCCCAGCACAACUUUACUGAAAGCAAGGGCCUUGGCUCAAGAGUAACUUCCUCCCCUGGUUGAAGAAGUUUGUAGAAUAGCUGUCUUCUAGAAUCUGGCAGGUUUGUAUUUACAAAUUAACCAAUUGACUUCUGAAUGUAGGUCACAACAUUCAUUCCUUAGGUGGCUGGCCUAUUUUUAUCUCAUUUGAAAGGGCAAGAAUAAAAAAGAUGAGCUAACUUGCAAUACUUCUCAGCUCUGAAGUCUUUUCCCCUAUGGGAGUGAAAAUAUCGCUGCAGGAAUGGUUUCUUAUUUGUAACAAAUAUUCAAUUGCCUAGUUCUUAUUUAAGAAACAAACACACAGAUCUAAACUGCUAGAUCAAAACCUUUAAAGCAAAAAUCUGUAACCACCCUUGUGUUACUUCAACCUGCAUAUCAGAGUGAGGUUUCAGGACACCAAUGAUCUACUCAAAAGGUCUCACCCCAGAUAGCCCAUUCCUGGACCAGAAAUAGUACAGAGCUAUAACGGGCUCCACUGCAGUCAAGAAUAGCUUAGCAGUGGUAGAAGCAGACAUCUUCUCCACGUACUUUGUAAUGUCUUUGCAACUCUAAGCUACUUGUCUCAAGAUUUAUUUUUUCAAAUAGUUGUGGCUUUUUUAUUAUGUUUUGGUUUUAAUUCUGUAAGAAAGCCUGUUUUCCAAGAUGCAACUAUAUUUGAUCAGGUGGCUGGAAAAAAAAUCUGCUUGGAACAUCAUAAAUAUUAUCCUAUUAUCUGACUGUGAUUAAAUCAGAAUUAUACAAAUACAUUAAAAUAAUUUGUAGACUGGCAGUAAAGAUGGCUAUUAAACUGAAAUCCAAUGGAAGUUUAAAGGCACCCUAAACACUGUAUCAGGGACAGAUACUUUAAGGUAGUAUUAUUACUGGGUGUCUUAUACUACAGUAAUGUUUCAAGCUCUUUCACACAGAACUGUUCAGAUAAAAGAUGUGAUGCUGGCAUUACAUUUGCCAAAAUUGCCAUUUGCAAUUAAAAAUUAAAACUGGCACCCUUUCUAUGCAGGCAAUUAUCUAAACGCAGCUGGCAAUCUUCCUUGUUUACAGCGCUGCUGUGUCAUGACUCCACUCCAUUUGGAAAUUUACCACCUUUUUUUUUUUUUUUUUUUAAGGUUUGAACUUUUCAGCUGUAUUUCCAAGUUGAACUUUUCUGAUUUUAGAGAUUUGUAUCAUGAACUCUGACAAAAAGGUCCAAAAUUAUAAUUUCCAGAUUUCGUAUGGCAACUUCAGGCAUAGCAAUAAAAUGAUUCCUAGCACAUAUUGUGGUGUUUCUUGCAACACUACUUUACAUCCAGCUAGGCCACAGGAAAACACCUGUAAGAACCCAGACAGCAAAAUGUACCAAAUAAAUACCCUCCAAGAAGAAAAUUUUAGGUUUAAGAGUUGAUUUUCAGAGUAAAACAGAAAUAAUGUGAAAGUCCUCUAAGUGGACAAAAAUCCUUUUCCUGAAUAAUAUAUGACAUUAACCACAUUUCUACUACUUGCUAUCUAUAGUAAUUGUCAUCCACUAAAUGAAUCUAUCCACAAAGUAUCUUAUUCAUCAGAUUACCAUGUUUCUGGAACCUUUUUACUUACAACAGCUGCUAUUAAAGUAACAUUUGAGGGUUCCCUUCACUGCUGGGAGAGGAGCAUUCUUUAUGCUGUCAAACAGCUUCCAGGGAGCAGUUGUUUUUUUAGCCAAGAUGCUGCAGCCGCUAGCUUGAUUUCCAUGACUAUCAUGGAACAAAUACUGUUACUUACAGCAUAUCAGUUAAAUAAAUAUUCUUACUCGUUUAUGAUGUAUUUCCUGUAGUCAGACAUAACAAUACUUUGUAUUAUAUCCCCAAUACAGUAAUGCUUAACUUC